CAGGGUGUUACUGUACAGAGUCAAUGUGGAGGCUAUAUACAGGGUGUUACGGUACAGAGUCAAUGUGGAGGUUAUAUACAGGGGGUACUGGUACAGAGUCAAUGUGGAGGUUAUAUACAGGGUAUUACGGUACAGAGUCAAUGUGGAGGCUAUAUACAGGGGGUACUGGUACAGAGUCAAUGUGGAGGCUAUAUACAGGGGGUACUGGUACAGAGUCAAUGUGGAGGUUAUAUACAGGGUAUUACGGUACAGAGUCAAUGUGGAGGCUAUAUACAG
Oncorhynchus tshawytscha (Chinook salmon) is the source of this 276-nucleotide long non-coding RNA. The record is from Ensembl. Lineage: Eukaryota; Metazoa; Chordata; Actinopteri; Salmoniformes; Salmonidae.